Molecule: non-coding RNA, 116 nt
Organism: Myotis lucifugus (little brown bat)
Lineage: Eukaryota; Metazoa; Chordata; Mammalia; Chiroptera; Vespertilionidae
Source: Rfam
CAUGCACCAGUGGGGUCCCUCGGCCUGGCCUGCAUUCUGGGACCCCUCGGGGGAUGUGGGAGAGCUGGUUUUGGCCCAAUCCCGCAGGCCAGGCUGAGGGACCCCACUGGUGCACA